CGCCUCUUGACAAACCAUAAGAGGUCCAGCCUGCCCAGUGACAAAGUUCAACGGCCGCGGUACCCUAACCGUGCGAAGGUAGCAUAAUCACUUGUUCUUUAAAUGAGGACUCGUAUCAACGGCACUACGAGGGCUAUACUGUCUCCUUUUUCCAAUCAGUGAAACUGAUCUCCCCGUGAAGAAGCGGGGAUCAAAAUAUAAGACGAGAAGACCCCAUGGAGCUUUAAACUCACCAUGCACCUCUGUGCCCUCAUACCCUCAGACACAAGAGACCUGCAUGCUAGUUUUAGGUUGGGGGGACCACGGAGUAUAAUUUAACCUCCAUAACAAAUGGGCUAAUACCCUUAUCCACGAGACACAACUCUAAGAAUUACUAAACUAAUGCUUAUGACCCGAUAUUCGAUCAAUGAACCAAGUUACCCUGGGGAUAACAGCGCAACCUACUUCAAGAGCCCAUAUCGACAAGUAGGUUUACGACCUCGAUGUUGGAUCAGGGUAUCCCGGUGGUGCAACCGCUACCGAUGGUUCGUUUGUUCAACGAUUAAAACCCU
This 551-nucleotide ribosomal RNA is filed under the name Rana arvalis (moor frog). RNAcentral describes it as "partial 16S ribosomal RNA". It matches the Rfam family "Bacterial large subunit ribosomal RNA", at positions 1829 to 2597 of the family's 2925-position model. The record is from RNAcentral. Lineage: Eukaryota; Metazoa; Chordata; Amphibia; Anura; Ranidae.